UUUUGCUUACUGGGUCAAGAGAAGAGAACAGAAUAGAAGAAGAGUCAACAUUUGCUAGCUCUAAUUGAGACCGUUCAAUAUGGGAAGCAAAUUUGGACAGGUAAAAGUUAUAGUUGUUCAAGGCAGGCGUUUGGUGAUUCGGGACUUUAAGAGCAGUGAUCCUUAUGUCAUUCUCAAACUGGGUAAUCAGACUGCAAAAACAAAGGUCAUAAAUAGCUGCCUUAAUCCUGUUUGGAAUGAAGAAUUUCAUUUUUCCAUUUCAGAACAUGCUCAGGUUCUCAAAUUGCAAGUGUUUGACAAAGACCACUUCAAGGCCGAUGACAAAAUGGGAAAUGCUCAUCUCAGCCUUCAGCCUUUAGUUGCUUCUGCUAGAUUGAGAAAGAUUCUUGGGGUUACCGCUGAAGGAACAACACUGAGGAAGGUUAUUCCAGAGAGUGAUAACUGUCUAGCAGCGGAUAGCAGUAUUAAUUGGGUGAAUGGUGAGGUUGUUCAAGAUGUCUGGUUGAGGCUUUGUGAUGUGGAUUCUGGGGAUAUAGAACUGAAGAUCAUAUUGAUCGAUCUCCCUUCUGCAGCUCCCUCUAAGUAAGACGGAGAUAGAUCUGUUGAAGUUAGGAUUGGUUGGUCCUUAGAUUUACUUUCUUGUCGCAGGUAAAGGUUUAGCAUGUGUGAUAUAUCCAGUAGGAGAGCCAGCACUUAGUUGUAUCUCAAAUGUAUUAUAUAUAUUCAUAAUGGUGUGUACUUGUGCUCCAGCUAAAUCCUUGUUAGAACAUUGCUUCUCCUAGUUCUUUUCAAUAGCAGCAUUGAGCUGAUGGAUUAACAUACCAUUGCUGUUCUGUAUUUUUGGUGAAGCUCAUCGUCAUUUUGACUGCUAUCUUUAAGAAAUCGAUGCAUUAAAGCUGAG
RNAcentral lists this unclassified non-coding RNA (901 nucleotides) under Hevea brasiliensis (rubber tree). Lineage: Eukaryota; Viridiplantae; Streptophyta; Magnoliopsida; Malpighiales; Euphorbiaceae. The record is from RNAcentral.